Molecule: non-coding RNA, 2301 nt
Organism: Cucurbita pepo subsp. pepo (vegetable marrow)
Lineage: Eukaryota; Viridiplantae; Streptophyta; Magnoliopsida; Cucurbitales; Cucurbitaceae
Source: RefSeq, a predicted model, not a curated record
AAAAACCGUGGACGCAGAACGAACUGCGUCUCUGCAUCUCUCAUAUAUGUUAGGCGAACACGAAGCCCAUUACACAUUUCACACCAGAAAAAAAACUCUGUCUCUCUUUUCUCUUGCCGUUCCUCCGUCUCCACCGCGCACGGCGCUUCCGUCCUGUGCCGUUGAUCAUCUCUUCUAGGGAUCAUUGAUCUCUAGAAGCCACUCAAGUUCGUCUCACAAGGCUUUGUAGAUACAGAUUGUGAAGGUUGUUUCCGAAAACGGCGCCGAGGAAGAAGUAUUCUGUGUUUUUACGACGAUUUGUCGAUAGAGAUUGUGGAGUUCGUGGGAUUUUCAAUGGCUACAGGGCCGGUUAAGUCUCAUCCUUUGCACAACUUCGCUCUCCCAUUUCUGAAAUGGGGUGGGAAGAAUCAGACCAACAGUAAUCACCGCAUUCGGCGGGAAAUUGGCGGCGACUCAUCACCUGCCGUCGAUCAUUCUGAACCGGAGUCUGAAGCAGACUCCAAGCAUCAACCUCGAGUUGGAUCGCGCACCGCUCGGAAUAGAUUGCCGUUUUCACCAUGCUCACUGGGAGAUAAAUCCGCGAAGCAUUCUGAAGGUGAGGUCGGAGAAGAAGUUGUGAAGGAGCAGAAGCGGGAAGGUGAGGAGGUCGAGGGGGAGGAAAUAGUGCAGAAGCCUUGGAAUCUCAGGCCGCGGAAGGGCCCGUCCUUGAGAGGCUUUGGUGAUUUGAAGAAUGGACGAGACUUGCAAGAACAGGACGGGGCUGUUUCUUCCGCUGCUGGUGCGUUUCAGCAAGGGGAGAAUCCGCAGCCGAAAUCGCUCCGGUUGCGAGGAUUUACAGAGUCGCAUAGGAUUGAGAAGAAGGAGAAGAGAAAGUUCUGGAUCGCUCUGUCUAAAGAUGAGAUUGAGGAAGAUAUUUUUAUCAUGACUGGAUCUAGACCUUCCCGACGGCCGAAGAAGAGACCUAAGAAUGUUCAGAAGCAACUCGAUAGUGUGUUUCCUGGACUGUGGUUGGUCGGUGUUACAGCAGACGCCUAUCGUAUCGCCGAUUCACCGGCCAAGAGAUAGGCAUGAUGAUGAUGGAUAUUUUUUGAUCCUUGAAGUUGGAAUAUUUUGCCUGCCCUGCCUUGAUUGGGAGCCUUGUUGGAGGCAGUGCAUUCUUUUUCAGAUAGAUCUUUCUCUCGCAUUCUUCAAGCUGAUGCUAAUGGUGAUAUUUUUCCAUCCUUCCUUAAUGUUUUGCGAUUUUUGAUCGUUCUUACUGCAUUUGAAUGGCUUAAAGCAGCUUCUUGCGAGUCAUCUUUUGCACCAAAUCUUUUUCUUGCUAGUAAAAUGCUGAUAGAACUUUCAAGUUCUGCACCAUUUUUUUUUUAAUUUAUAUGGGGACUUCGGGAUAUCUGAGCAUUAAUUUCAUGGCCUUCACUUUUUUGUUUUCCUUUUACUCAAAUCCUUUUGUGGGUUUGCCUUCAAAUACUGAUUAAUUUAGUUGUUUUGGCCUUAAUUUUGAUUUGGAAUUCGCAAAAUCUUAAAAGUGUUCAUUCUUCUGCUUUGUUCUUCAUGUAUAUGAGAGGCUAGGCAGCUUUCGUAUAAAAAUUUGUUCUUGAAGAUUGCUCUCAUCUUAGUUAACACUUUUGUUAAUUGCUAAUCUAUAAGAUGCCGUGUAUAUUUUCAUGUCUGUAAAUCAUGGUUUCUGUGGUUUUGGUGAAAAACAAACCCUUUUCUGUAUCCCUUGCCUGUGAGUAUUAACAAUUCUCUGCUUGAAUUUUUCUUCCUUUGAGAACCUUAAUGAUAGAUAAGGAGAACAAUUACUCGUAGAUGCUCCAAUUGAUACUUCUAUUGCAGGAUUUACUUGUGAAGUUGGUUCCAACUGAUCUAAUAAUUAGAAUUGGGGAUUUUACUUCCGUUCUUUCUUCAUUGUGUGCUAAUAAUCCCAACCCGAUGCUCUAUAAUUUACUUUGGUAUACUCAGUUUCAUUACCUACUAUGCGGUUCAUGUCGUUGGGUUCUUCAUCCUAGCUGCAGCGGAGUGCAUAGGAUCACUCUUGAAGAAUGAAGGGGUACUACUAAAAACAGUCUCUAUGUGUGUGCGUGUGUUUGGUAGGGGUUUGGUUUAGUUGGUUGUGCUUUCAAUUUCUGAUCUUUAAUUGCCAUUGAUUGAUUUGGAAGCAAGCCUGAAUGGUUCUUUACUCCUUGAUCAGAUUUAUCUUUCUUGAAUAUACACGUGUAACGACCUCAAUUGACUAAGGUUAUUACUACUUGUAUGCUAGCAAUUGAAAACUUGAAAGAAUCUUAUAAAAUUAUAAAAACG